ACAAUGGGUACACAAGGGAGCAGAAGAAACCUCUAGCAGAUGCCUCUGAUUUCUGAUACAGCGGGGGACGAUGCGUGGCAAUCCAAGCCUUUAAGCCCCUGGACAAAGAACAAGGUAAGACACAACACAAUGUAUAAGCAACAGAUUUACGCUUUGGAAAAGCAGGAGAUUUAGGAGCAAAAUAAAACAAGCACAUUGUUGAUUUUCUUCUAAUGCCCCAUAACAGCAUCUGCCCCAAAAAUAAAGGAGACAAAAUGUGGAUCAGAAGAUACUGACGUCAAAAAUGGUGCAACCAUGUACAGCUUCAUUCCAUUCACUCCACGAGAUACCGCAUCAUCACUAGCUGGCAAGAGAUCGUC
This 359-nucleotide long non-coding RNA is filed under the name Setaria italica (foxtail millet). RNAcentral's name for it is "long non-coding RNA (SITA_LNC000770)". Lineage: Eukaryota; Viridiplantae; Streptophyta; Magnoliopsida; Poales; Poaceae. The record is from RNAcentral.